UACGUAGGUGGCAAGCGUUGUCCGGAUUUACUGGGCGUAAAGGAUGCGUAGGCGGCCAUUUAAGUCAGAUGUGAAAUCCCCGAGCUUAACUUGGGUGCUGCAUUUGAAACUGGGUGUCUAGAGUGCAGGAGAGGUAAGUGGAAUUCCUAGUGUAGCGGUGAAAUGCGUAGAGAUUAGGAAGAACACCAGUGGCGAAGGCGACUUACUGGACUGUAACUGACGCUGAGGCAUGAAAGCGUGGGGAGCAAACAGG
This 253-nucleotide ribosomal RNA is filed under the name uncultured bacterium. RNAcentral's name for it is "partial 16S ribosomal RNA". It matches the Rfam family "Bacterial small subunit ribosomal RNA", at positions 524 to 776 of the family's 1533-position model. The record is from RNAcentral.